GGAAGGGAGAGAGGUAGCUGAGAUCUCAUGCUGCAGUCUAAUGUGAAUGGAGAGCUGCACUGUGAAGGUAUUCACCCAAUUAUAGAAACAUAAAAGCAUGGGGAUUGCCAAAUUGGAUUGAACAAGCGAUCAAUCUUGUCACUGAUCACGGCCAAUAUUAGAGGAUUCAGAGGAAAGUACAAGAAACCCAACACCAAAUUGAAAGGCUGAGGUAACAGAAGUGGAACACGGCACUGAUGUGACAGGUCUGAACCCAGUUUGAGGAACAUCAGGAAUGUUUGGAUAUUGCCUCCAGUAUACCAACCAAUCAAGAAAAUCCAAAAUCCAAUGAAUUCUCUGCUUUGAGACAAUCAAUCUUUAUUCUCUCUACAUGCACAUUUAUCAACAAAAGUGGCAGUUUUUGUUUCUUUUUUCUUUUUUUGUC
Mauremys mutica (yellowpond turtle) is the source of this 424-nucleotide long non-coding RNA. RefSeq lists it as uncharacterized. The record is from RefSeq and is a predicted model, not a curated record. The transcript is spliced from 4 exons. Lineage: Eukaryota; Metazoa; Chordata; Testudines; Geoemydidae.